Molecule: ribosomal RNA, 230 nt
Filed under: Escherichia coli
Lineage: Bacteria; Pseudomonadati; Pseudomonadota; Gammaproteobacteria; Enterobacterales; Enterobacteriaceae
Description: partial 23S ribosomal RNA
Rfam family: Bacterial large subunit ribosomal RNA
Source: RNAcentral
UGUUCGGGUUGUCAUGCCAAUGGCACUGCCCGGUAGCUAAAUGCGGAAGAGAUAAGUGCUGAAAGCAUCUAAGCACGAAACUUGCCCCGAGAUGAGUUCUCCCUGACUCCUUGAGAGUCCUGAAGGAACGUUGAAGACGACGACGUUGAUAGGCCGGGUGUGUAAGCGCAGCGAUGCGUUGAGCUAACCGGUACUAAUGAACCGUGAGGCUUAACCUUACAACGCCGAAG